GUGCUUGCUUCAGCAGCACAUAUGCUAAAAUUGGAAUGAUACAGAGAUUAGCAUGGCCUCUGUGCACGGAUGACAGGCAAAUUUGCGCAGCGUCCAUAUUAAAU
Molecule: small nuclear RNA, 104 nt
Organism: Cynocephalus volans (Philippine flying lemur)
Lineage: Eukaryota; Metazoa; Chordata; Mammalia; Dermoptera; Cynocephalidae
Source: RefSeq, a predicted model, not a curated record